AACGAACGCUGGGGCCUGCCUAACACAUGCCAGUCGAACGAGACCUUCGGGUCUAGUGGCGCACGGGUGCGUAACGCGUGGGAACCUGCCCUUAGGUUCGGAAUAACUCCCCGGAAGGGGUGCUAAUACCGGAUAAUGUCUUCGGACCAAAGAUUUAUCGCCUUUGGAUGGGCCCGCGUUGGAUUAGCUAGUUGGUAGGGUAAAAGCCUACCAAGGCGACGAUCCAUAGCUGGUCUGAGAGGAUGAUCAGCCACACUGGGACUGAGACACGGCCCAGACUCCUACGGGAGGCAGCAGUGGGGAAUAUUGGACAAUGGGCGAAAGCCUGAUCCAGCAAUGCCGCGUGAGUGAUGAAGGCCUUAGGGUUGUAAAGCUCUUUUACCCGGGAUGAUAAUGACAGUACCGGGAGAAUAAGCUCCGGCUAACUCCGUG
RNAcentral lists this ribosomal RNA (432 nucleotides) under uncultured bacterium. RNAcentral's name for it is "partial 16S ribosomal RNA". It matches the Rfam family "Bacterial small subunit ribosomal RNA", at positions 29 to 507 of the family's 1533-position model. The record is from RNAcentral.